This 76-nucleotide transfer RNA is filed under the name Planctomycetota bacterium. RNAcentral describes it as "Planctomycetes bacterium (activated sludge metagenome) tRNA-Glu". It matches the Rfam family "tRNA". From Rfam's summary of the family: Transfer RNA (tRNA) molecules are approximately 80 nucleotides in length. Their secondary structure includes four short double-helical elements and three loops (D, anti-codon, and T loops). The record is from RNAcentral. Lineage: Bacteria; Pseudomonadati; Planctomycetota.
GCUCGCGUGGUCCAACGGCAGCGACACCAGGCCCUCAACCUGGAGACGGCGGGUUCAACUCCCCCCGCGAGCACCA